Molecule: ribosomal RNA, 465 nt
Filed under: uncultured bacterium
Lineage: Bacteria
Description: partial 16S ribosomal RNA
Rfam family: Bacterial small subunit ribosomal RNA
Source: RNAcentral
CCUACGGGAGGCAGCAGUGGGGAAUAUUGCGCAAUGGGCGAAAGCCUGACGCAGCGACGCCGCGUGAGGGAUGAAGGUCUUCGGAUCGUAAACCUCUGUCAGCAUGGAAGAACGGUCACUGUGCUAAUCAGCAGUGAAUUGACGGUACCUGCAACGGAAGCACCGGCUAACUCCGUGCCAGCAGCCGCGGUAAUACGGAGGGUACGAGCGUUAAUCGGAAUUACUGGGCGUAAAGCGGUCGUAGGCGGUAUGUCAAGUCAAGGGUGAAAUCCCCGCGCUCAACGUGGGAACUGCCUUUGAAACUGGCAGACUGGAGUGGGUGAGAGGAUAGUGGAAGUCCAGGUGUAGGAGUGAAAUCCGUAGAUAUCUGGAGGAACAGCAGUGGCGAAGGCGACUAUCUGGCACAUAACUGACGCUGAGGAGCGAAAGCGUGGGUAGCAAACAGGAUUAGAUACCCGGGUAGUC